Molecule: ribosomal RNA, 1500 nt
Filed under: Triticum aestivum (bread wheat)
Lineage: Eukaryota; Viridiplantae; Streptophyta; Magnoliopsida; Poales; Poaceae
Description: partial small subunit ribosomal RNA
Source: RNAcentral
AUGACUCAGCCUGAAUGGCAGCUUGCGAUGGCCGAGGAGCUUGCGGCGCUUGAGCGCAAUGGCAUGUGGGAUCUGGUUUCUCCUCCUUCUGGUGUUCGUCCCAUCACGUGCAAGUGGGUCUAUAAGAUUAAGACUCGCUUCGAUGGUUCUCUUGAGCGUUACAAAGCUCGCCUUGUGGCUCGUGGCUUUCAGCAGGAACAGGGGCGUGAUUAUGACGAGACUUUCGCUCCUGUGGCCCACAUGACCACUGUCCGCACUCUCCUUGUUGUGGCUUCUGUUCGUCAUUGGCCUGUGUCUCAGCUUGACGUUCAGAACGCAUUUCUCAACGGUGAGUUGCGUGAGGAGGUCUAUAUGCAGCCCCCUCCGGGGUACUCUGUUCCCGAUGGUAUGGUCUGCCGCCUUCGGUGCUCCCUUUAUGGCCUUAAACAAGCCCCUCGCGCAUGGUUCUCGCGGUUCGCCUCUAUGGUGACUGCCGCUGGCUUCUUGCCUAGUGAUCAUGAUCCAGCGUUGUUUGUCCACACCUCUCCUCGUGGUCGGACUCUUCUCCUUCUAUAUGUGGAUGACAUGAUCAUCACUGGUGAUGAUUCUGAGUAUAUUGCCUCUGUUAAGGCCCGCCUCCGGGAACAAUUCCUGAUGUCUGAUCUUGGUCCUCUUCGCUACUUUCUUGGGAUUGAGAUUUCUUCGACCUGUGAAGGCUUCUUCAUCUCUCAAGAAAAGUAUAUUCAGGAUCUUAUCUCGCGGGCCGCUCUUAGUGAUGAUCGCACAGUUGUGACUCCUAUGAAGCUCAAUGUUCAGCUUCGUGCUACUGAUGGUGAUCCUCUGGCUGAUCCCACACGGUAUCGCCACCUCGUUGGGAGCCUUGUCUAUCUCGCUGUUACUCGUCCUGAUAUAUCCUGUCCUGUUCACAUUCUCAGUCAGUUCGUUUCAGCUCCCACCACUGUCCACUAUGGUCACCUUCUACGUGUUCUACGCUAUCUUCGUGGCACGAUUUCACACCAUCUUUUCUUUCCCCGCUCUAGCUCUCUCCAGCUCCAGGCCUACUCUGAUGCUACAUGGGCUAGUGAUCCUACCGAUCGCCGCUCGCUGUCUGCUUACUGUGUCUUUCUUGGAGGCUCUCUCAUUGCCUGGAAGACAAAGAAACAGACAGCUGUUUCUCGCUCGAGUACGGAGGCUGAGUUGCGAGCGAUGGCUAUGUUGACGGCUGAGGUGAUCUGGUUACGAUGGUUACUCGAGGAUUUUGGUGUUUCUGUUGCUGCACCGACUCCCCUCCUGUCAGAUAGUACAGGUGCUAUCAGCAUUGCGCGUGACCCGGUCAAGCAUGAGCUCACCAAGCACAUCGGCGUGGAUGCCUCCUUUGUCCGUGCGGCUGUGCAAGAUCAAGUUCUUGCUCUUCAUUAUGUGCCUUCUGAGUCACAGUUGGCGGAUUUCUUCACGAAGGCACAGACUCGAGCGCAGCAUGGGUUCUUUCUCUCCAAACUCAGUGUAGUUGAUCCACCAUGA